AACGAACGCUGGCGGCGCGCCUAAUACAUGCAAGUCGAGCGAGAAGGUGUAGCAAUACACUUGUAAAGCGGCGAACGGGUGAGGAAUGCAUGGGUAACCUACCCUCGAGUGGGGAAUAACUAGCCGAAAGGUUAGCUAAUACCGCAUACGUUUCCGGAACUUCGGUUUCGGAAAGAAAGCAAUACCGUGGGUAUUGCGCUCCUGGAUGGGCUCAUGUCCUAUCAGCUUGUUGGUGAGGUAACGGCUCACCAAGGCUUCGACGGGUAGCUGGUCUGAGAGGACGAUCAGCCACACUGGCACUGCGACACGG
This 310-nucleotide ribosomal RNA is filed under the name uncultured bacterium. RNAcentral's name for it is "bacterial SSU rRNA". It matches the Rfam family "Bacterial small subunit ribosomal RNA", at positions 29 to 329 of the family's 1533-position model. The record is from RNAcentral.